This 589-nucleotide ribosomal RNA is filed under the name uncultured bacterium. RNAcentral describes it as "bacterial SSU rRNA". It matches the Rfam family "Bacterial small subunit ribosomal RNA", at positions 338 to 919 of the family's 1533-position model. The record is from RNAcentral.
CCUACGGGAGGCAGCAGUAAGGAAUAUUGGACAAUGGAGGCAACUCUGAUCCAGCCAUGCCGCGUGAAGGAUGAAGGCGCUCAGCGUUGUAAACUUCUUUUGGAUGGGAACAAAAACUCCGAUGCGUCGGAGCCUGAGGGUACCAUCAGAAUAAGCACCGGCUAACUCCGUGCCAGCAGCCGCGGUAAUACGGAGGGUGCAAGCGUUAUCCGGAAUCACUGGGUUUAAAGGGUGCGUAGGCGGCUCGAUAAGUCAGUCGUGAAAUUCCCCGGCUUAACCGGAGGGACUGCGAUUGAUACUGUUGAACUUGAAUCAGGUUGAGGUAGGCGGAAUGUGGCAUGUAGCGGUGAAAUGCUUAGAUAUGCCAUAGAACACCGAUUGCGAAGGCAGCUUGCUGGACCUGUAUUGACGCUGAGGCACGAAAGCGUGGGGAGCAAACAGGAUUAGAUACCUGGUAGUCCACGCCCUAAACGAUAGUUUACUUGUCUGUGCGGUCUUCGGAUUGCGUGGCGAAGCGAAAGCGAUAAGUAAACAACCUGGGGAGUACGCCGGCGAACGGUGAAACGUACAAAAUAGAAAUUAGAACGGG